UACGGAGGAUGCAAGCGUUAUCCGGAAUGAUUGGGCGUAAAGCGUCCGCAGGUGGCAAUGUAAGUCUGCUGUUAAAGAGUCUAGCUCAACUAGAUAAAAGCAGUGGAAACUACAUAGCUAGAGUACGUUCGGGGCAGAGGGAAUUCCUGGUGUAGCGGUGAAAUGCGUAGAGAUCAGGAAGAACACCGGUGGCGAAGGCGCUCUGCCAGGCCGUAACUGACACUGAGGGACGAAAGCUAGGGGAGCGAAUGGG
RNAcentral lists this ribosomal RNA (253 nucleotides) under uncultured bacterium. RNAcentral describes it as "partial 16S ribosomal RNA". It matches the Rfam family "Bacterial small subunit ribosomal RNA", at positions 524 to 776 of the family's 1533-position model. The record is from RNAcentral.